RNAcentral lists this long non-coding RNA (690 nucleotides) under Gallus gallus (chicken). RNAcentral's name for it is "lncRNA (ENSGALG00010019582.1)". Lineage: Eukaryota; Metazoa; Chordata; Aves; Galliformes; Phasianidae. The record is from RNAcentral.
ACCCUGAAAAGGAAUUAUCUGAAUACGAAUCCCACUGUUCUCCUGGCAGCCCUGCCCUGGCUUUGCAGCAACAAGAGCACCAAGCAGCUCAGCCAUGACACCAACUACACUUUGCCAAAGUGGUAGAAAAAGAGUUAGAGAAGCAAGCAGGAGCAGGCUGUGGACAGCCCACGUCUGCUGCAGCACAAGUGUAAGAAAAGAAUAUGAUUUGGACUACUGUAAGCCUUUCACCAUCUCCCUCAAGGAAACUGCUGAAGAUAAAAUUACAAAUGCCCUAUACAUGCAAUCAUAUUAGCAUCUCAAGCAAGCACAAAUACGGCAUAUUUGACCCAGUGGGAAAGUGGCACUGGCAACACAACACAGCCCAUUGUCAAAGGAAUCUAGAUGAAAAUAUGAAUUCCUCUCAUUCACUGUCCUCAAAAAUAACUCUUCAGUGGAGCAAAACAGUCCCAAGUAAGAGCCGUGCAUGACUGAAGAAUAGAGCUGUCUGGCAGGCUGAGAAGUAUGUAUGCCAACAAGGAGCUAAAAUGAAUGUCCAAAGCACUGUGAAGGAAAUGAAGCUGACUGUAUUAUCUGGCACAGAAACAUAGAAGUCUUCACAUGUCCAUCACAGUCAGGUUCACUUGACUAGGCAUCUGCUGCCAUUCUACCAUGACUUCACUGGGUAACAUGUCAUUAAAAAAAACAUCC